CAUGGCUGCCCUCAGAUCCCUUGUGAAGCCCAAGAUCGUCAAAAAGAGAACCAAGAAAUUCAUCCGGCACCAGUCAGACCGAUAUGUCAAAAUCAAGAUGAGAAGAAUAAUGUCUGGGGUGAAGGUGAAGCACCCAGCCCAAGACUCAGCAGCCAGGAAGUGGCCCAGCGCUCUUUAUACCACGGGUGCAGGAAUUCACACAGAAAAGUGGAGGCCAAGGCGUGAGAAUUCCUCAAUGACUGCCCUCUAAAGGAAGAGGACCAGGCUUCCUGUCAGAGACUGAGGACCCAGGAAGAAACAUGUCUCGGCCCCUGUCCCCCUCCACAAUUCAGAGGCCACAUUCUAACAGGGGAGGCUGACCAAUUAAACAGAUAAUGACACCUCCUAGAGCUAAGAGCUCUCCGACUAUGAACCAGAUGCCUGGAGAACACGGAUGAAUGGUCUGAGCAUGAGCAGGGGUGGGAGGCAGCGUUAAGGGAGGCAUCAGAGUCAGAACCUAGCAAACAAGUGUUUGUGAAGAAGAAUUCAUAGAAAAGGGCAAUGCGGGCAUCACAUGGGCUAAGGAACAGAGGGGUAGCAGUAGCUGUUGUGCCAAGCUGCAGGUGUUAUACACUACCCUCUAGAUCUGGGUUUCCUUAAAACACCUUGAGAGGACAACCCUGCAAAGCACGGCACAGUGGCCGAGAGGGAAAGGAGCAUUCGAGGUCUCAGUCCUCGCUCUGAGCCUACUUCUCUGCUUCUGGGCUCCAGCCAUCUUUGUGGAAAGGGGGCUGCUAGUGACACCCUCUCAAGGGUCUUUCCAGCUCUAGGUCGGCUGUGCUGGAGUCUAGGAUUUGCCCACUGAGAAAUCUGUUUCCAAGUUCCUUCAACCUGAUGCAUCCUGCAGCAUCACGGCAGCUGUUCAGAGUGGUCAGAAGGCCCCUGAAUGAGCUCAGUAGAGGGAAGCCUGGGAACAGGGAGGCACCUGCAGCUCUACUCAUGGCCUGGCCAGAGCUCAGCAGCUCUUCUCUGCCAUCUAGUGGGGAUGGCAUACCAUCACUGGGGACCACCCUGUGCAAACUGGUGAGCCUGAGUGCCUGUCACAGAGGGAAAGAAAGGGGGGGGAUACAGGAUUUAGAUGAAAUAGCAACUCCUACCCUAUUGUCAAAAUCAUCCAGCUUUUUCAAAACAUCAUAUUGUACUGAUUUUUUUGUGUUUUUGACAGAGUCUUGCUGUGUCACCAAGGCUGGAAUGCAGUGGCAUGAUCUCGGCUCACUGUAGCCUCUGUCUCCCUGGUUCAAGCAAUUCUGCCCCAGCCUCCCAAGUAGCUGGGACUACAGGCAUGCGCCACCACACCCAGCUAAGUUUUGUAUUUUUUUAGUAGAGUCAGGGUUUUACUUUGGCCAGGCUGGUCUUAAACUCCUGGCCUCAACUGAUCUGCCUGUCUCGGCCUCCCAAAGAACUGGGAUUACAGGCAUGAGGCACCGUGCCUGUCCCAUGUUGUACUUAAUAGAUAUUUACCAUAUACAAUUAUUUUUUAAUUUAAAUAAAUCAAUGAACAGUGUUAUUUUUUAAA
Molecule: long non-coding RNA, 1555 nt
Organism: Homo sapiens (human)
Lineage: Eukaryota; Metazoa; Chordata; Mammalia; Primates; Hominidae
Source: Ensembl